This 1120-nucleotide long non-coding RNA is filed under the name Anser brachyrhynchus (Pink-footed goose). Its description in RNAcentral is "lncRNA (ENSABRG00000007829.1)". Lineage: Eukaryota; Metazoa; Chordata; Aves; Anseriformes; Anatidae. The record is from RNAcentral.
UCCUAGAAAGAGCCGCCCUCACGGCCUCUUCAGAAGGCAGCCGGUGCGUGCCAGAGCCAUCUCCGCUGCCCGGAGCCCUUGGUGCUCAGAGCAGGGAUGCUGCGCCCGCAGGGGGAUGCUUCCCGUGCUGCUGGGGGUGAAACAGGGGGGGCUGCGGGGCUGGAGGGGGCCGCAGCCACUCCUGCAGGAGGGACGUGGGAGGCAACUGGUGUGCCAGCGGGCGCGGAGGAAUGCGGCAGCAUGGGGGUGGGGGGGGGGGAGGACAGAAAUUAAUAAUUAUCUAAAGCGCACCCCUAUCACUGUUCAUCAAAAUUUGCCCAUACUUCAUUCCAGCCUCCUUUCUUCUUCUUGCCUCCAGUGAACCUGUGGGCACGGUGUAGAGUAAAUGUUAAUUAAACUACCGUGGAGCUGCUUAGCAGUAGGCCACCACAGGCAAUCCCUUCUGCUUGCAUCGCCGCUGUUGACAGAGCUUAUUUAGAGCGUGCAAGGGAAGACUUUGACCCAAAACAACGGCUGCAAAGGAAAUAGCAGCAACUUCGCUGCGAUCAGUGGCAUUUCCCUGGAUUUCUUCUGGCCUUGCCAAAAGCAGAAUGUGUUGUCGGGCCCGCAGGAAACAAAGUUUUCUUUAUUGCGCAGGAGAUGCUUGCUUUAAUUGCCGUCUUCCCGUGGCCAAGCAGCGGUCACCGCUCACCUCCAGCGGGGCCGGGGCUGGCCGAGGGACGCCGCUGCUCCUGGGUCUGUGCCUCGUCCUGUCGGACAACGCAGCGAGUACCCCGUGCAGCCUGCACCGCGCCGGUGGCUGAGAUGCUCGGGUUUUCCUUCUCUGAUGAGCAAAGGAAAUCCUGACAAAGCGAGCAGGAGCAGGAGUGGUGAGGUGUUGAACUGUGAGUGAUUCCUCGGGUCCUGUCCCGGCGAAGGAUUCACCGAGAAGAGUUUAUCCCCCCGGGGGAAACAGCAGCUACAAGGAUUUUAUUCUCACCCACCCCUCUGGGUAUAAGGGCUUGUUAUAAAUAAUACUCGAGUCUAAAGGAGGUGAAUGAGGACUUUUAUGGAUUUAACACGAAACUCUAACAUCUUUUUCCACUAAAGCUUCUGUCAAUAAAUCAUUUUUUAAUUAUCA